GACGUAGGGCGCGAGCGUUGUCCGGAUUUAUUGGGCGUAAAGAGCUCGUAGGCGGCUUGUUGCGUCGACCGUGAAAACCCGGGGCUCAACUUCGGGCUUGCGGUCGAUACGGGCGGGCUAGAGUUCGGUAGGGGAGACUGGAAUUCCUGGUGUAGCGGUGAAAUGCGCAGAUAUCAGGAGGAACACCUGUGGCGAAGGCGGCUUUCUGGGCCCUACCUGACGCUGAGACGCGAAAGCGUGGGGAGCGAACCGG
RNAcentral lists this ribosomal RNA (253 nucleotides) under uncultured bacterium. RNAcentral's name for it is "partial 16S ribosomal RNA". It matches the Rfam family "Bacterial small subunit ribosomal RNA", at positions 524 to 776 of the family's 1533-position model. The record is from RNAcentral.